GUUUGGAUACGAGGUGUUAAACUUUAACAGUGUCACAUCGGAUGUUCGGAUGCUAAUUAGAAGAACUAAAUAUGAGCUAAUUAUAAAACUAAUUGCAGAACCCUGUGCUAAUUCGCGAGACGAAUCUAUUAAGCCUAAUUAAUCCAUCAUUAGCAAAUGAUUACUAUAGCACCACAUUGUCAAAUCAUGGACUAAUUAGGCUUAAUAGAUUCGUCACGCGAAUUACACUCCAUCUGUGCAAUUAGUUUUGCAAUUAGCCUAUAUUUAGUACUCCUAAUUAGCAUAAAACAUCCGAUGUGACGGGUGUUAAACUUUAACACCUGGUUGCCAAACAG
RNAcentral lists this long non-coding RNA (335 nucleotides) under Setaria viridis. RNAcentral's name for it is "long non-coding RNA (SVIR_LNC006188)". Lineage: Eukaryota; Viridiplantae; Streptophyta; Magnoliopsida; Poales; Poaceae. The record is from RNAcentral.